RNAcentral lists this ribosomal RNA (492 nucleotides) under uncultured bacterium. RNAcentral's name for it is "partial 16S ribosomal RNA". It matches the Rfam family "Bacterial small subunit ribosomal RNA", at positions 29 to 507 of the family's 1533-position model. The record is from RNAcentral.
AGUGAACGCUGGCGGUAGGCCUAACACAUGCAAGUCGAACGGCAGCACAGUAAGAGCUUGCUCUUACGGGUGGCGAGUGGCGGACGGGUGAGGAAUACAUCGGAAUCUACUUUUUCGUGGGGGAUAACGUAGGGAAACUUACGCUAAUACCGCAUACGACCUACGGGUGAAAGCAGGGGAUCUUCGGACCUUGCGCGAUUGAAUGAGCCGAUGUCGGAUUAGCUAGUUGGCGGGGUAAAGGCCCACCAAGGCGACGAUCCGUAGCUGGUCUGAGAGGAUGAUCAGCCACACUGGAACUGAGACACGGUCCAGACUCCUACGGGAGGCAGCAGUGGGGAAUAUUGGACAAUGGGCGCAAGCCUGAUCCAGCCAUACCGCCUGGGUGAAGAAGGCCUUCGGGUUGUAAAGCCCUUUUGUUGGGAAAGAAAAGCAGCAGGUUAAUACCCCGCUGUUCUGACGGUACCCAAGGAAUAAGCACCGGCUAACUUCGUG